RNAcentral lists this long non-coding RNA (307 nucleotides) under Eutrema salsugineum. Its description in RNAcentral is "long non-coding RNA (ESAL_LNC001559)". The record is from RNAcentral. Lineage: Eukaryota; Viridiplantae; Streptophyta; Magnoliopsida; Brassicales; Brassicaceae.
UAGACUGGUGGCGGUGGCGGAGGAGGUGGAGGAGAGUAAACUGGUGGCGGUGGCGGAGGUGGUGGUGGUGGUGGUGGUGGAGGGGGAGAAUAAACUGGUGGUGGCGAGCACCGGAUCUCCUAUUGUUGUUGUUGCAGAAACAAAAGCAAAACUAAUUCAGUAUUAUUACUACAGCAUGAUACCGUAGAUUUCAUCAAAUCACACAGAGAGAUAAAGAAGAAGAUGAACAGUAUUAUAAACCAAAAUCCCUAAUUGAAACAAAUCCCAGGAGGCUUACCUUUAACUGAAGCAAACAUCGAAAUCUUCC